RNAcentral lists this unclassified non-coding RNA (391 nucleotides) under soil metagenome. Its description in RNAcentral is "partial contains 5.8S ribosomal RNA, internal transcribed spacer 2, and large subunit ribosomal RNA". The stretch from base 1 to 122 matches the Rfam family "5.8S ribosomal RNA", at positions 35 to 154 of the family's 154-position model. The record is from RNAcentral.
GAUGAAGAACGCAGCGAAAUGCGAUACUUGGUGUGAAUUGCAGAAUCCCGUGAACCAUCGAGUCUUUGAACGCAAGUUGCGCCCGAAGCCAUUAGGUCGAGGGCACGCCUGCCUGGGCGUCACACGUCGUUGCCCCCCCAUCUACUCCUUCGGGAUUGCGGGGGGCGGAUGAUGGCCUCUCGUGCGCCUCGUCGCGCGGUUGGCCUAAAUGCCAAGUCCUCGGCGACGCACGCCACGACAAUCGGUGGUUGCGAAACCUCGGUUGCCUGUCGUGUGCGGUCGUCGCGCAUCGAGGGCUCGAAAAAAUUGCCGGGCUUCGGCUCGACUUUCAACGCGACCCCAGGUCAGGCGGGGUUACCCGCUGAAUUUAAGCAUAUCAAUAAGCGGAGGA